GGUGCUAUAGAGUAGUCGUUAUCACUCGGGAUUUUGAUCUUGUUCUUGCGAUUUCCCGUGACUCAGGUUCGAACCCUGGUAGCACCU
RNAcentral lists this transfer RNA (87 nucleotides) under Coprinellus micaceus. It matches the Rfam family "tRNA". Rfam says of the family: Transfer RNA (tRNA) molecules are approximately 80 nucleotides in length. The record is from Rfam by way of RNAcentral. Lineage: Eukaryota; Fungi; Basidiomycota; Agaricomycetes; Agaricales; Psathyrellaceae.